CCGCUGUCCCAACGGCUUCCUGACGGGACGGUAUGACAUCCAUCGGAGCG
Molecule: regulatory RNA element, 50 nt
Rfam family: SAM/SAH riboswitch aptamer
Source: Rfam